GAGGAGGAGGAGUGGAGGCAAGUGGAGAACCCAUGAUCUUUUAUACAAUAACAUACAAAAUAGGAUUAAUGAAAAGAGGAUCAAUCAUAAGUUUUUUUUUGGAAGGCAAAAGUAUAAUAUUAUUAAACAAAACCCCACCACAGAAGAAGACAAGACAAAUUAACCAAAGGACUCCGAAAGAUUGGUAGUUGUGCUUUUUAAUUGUGAUUUGGGGCAACCAUGUUAUAAAAAGUCUAUUACAUGUAAUCAACAGUCAACGUAUGCUUGAUGGAAUAUAAAUACUAUAUCUUCAAAAAUACACAUGUACAUGGCAUCCUUAGGACUUCAUCCAGCUUAUGUGUUUCAUCAUCCACCACCCUUUUGUUCUCUACCUUCUCACGUUUGUUGUUGUUAAACCCAUAUUUAUGCUUUCUUCCCUUCAUGUCUUGUUUUAUCACAACUUUACCCGAAUUUCCUAUCUUCAGCACAGUUGAAUCUCUUGUCUUAUUCUCCAAUGACACACUUUGAUGACCUGUAUCUCUUUUCUUCGUAUGUUCUAGUGGUUCAGCUUCAGAAUGCAUAGAGCAAUCAAAAUUUUCCUGUGAUCACCAAAGGCUUCUGCAUCGGCGUUGACACUCUCUACCUUCUUUGGUUUAUGCUUCUGUGUUGCAUUCCGUGCUUCCUCCUUAUAAUUCUCAGAUUUAUUGGAGGUCUCACUAGAAGGAUCAGCACCAAUCCGUGCCUGUUCCUCCUCUACCAGCUCAAUAUCUUUCGUUUCACCUUUGCUUUUGUAAACUACACUGUAAUUUACAAAACAAAAGUUGAAAGGAAAGAUAUUGAGCUGGUAGACGAGGAAGAAGCACAGAUUGGUGCUGAUUGUUCUAGUGCAACCUCUAAUAAAUUUGAGAUUUAUAACGAGGAAGCACGGAAUGCAGCACAAAAGCAUAAACCAAAGAGGGUGGAGAGUGUCAAUGCUGAUGCAGAAGCCUUUGGUGAUCACUGGAAAAUUUAGAUUGCUUUAUGCAUUCUGAAGCUGAAACACUAGAACAUACGAAGAAAAGAGAUAUAUAUAGGCCAUCAAAGUGUGUCAUUGGAGAAUAAGACAGGAGAUUCAACUGUGCUGAAGAUAGGCAAUUCGGCUAAAGUUGUGAUAAAACAAGACAUGAAGGGAUGAAAGCAUAAAUAUGGGUUUAACAACAAUAAACGUAAGAAUAAAAUGACUUGUUUAGAUGUUAUUCCUUCUGGUUCGAGUAAUAAUAACCAUGACAAUUCUCUCCAUGUUUUCAUCCCUCUUAUUACUAGCUUUUUUGAAUUCUUUAGUUCCUGAAUGUACAACCUUCAAAUUGUUGUUCAUUGUAAACAGCACAAAGUGGACCUUGUCUGUCUCCAAGAAACCAAAAGGGAGAAAUUUAAUAAAAGUAUUUGCCAGGCCAUUUGGGGGGACUCGACUGCCCAUUAGGAUUAUGUUCUUUCUGUGCAGGCUGCUGGUGGCCUAUUAUGUUUGUGGAAUAACUCCAUUUUUGAGGUGGAUAGGAGAGAGAAAGGUAGAAGUUUUUUAAUGCUUGAAAGGACAUGUAUUAGUAAUAAUCAGAGGAUGAUGAUUGUCAAUGUCUAUGCUCCCUGUGAUCUGGUUGGGAAGAAAGCUUUAUGGGAUGAUCUGAGGCAGUUGAAGGCCUCUAAUCCUAGUGGAUUGUGGUGUUUUCUUGGGGACUUCAAUAGCAUUAGAAGUUCUAAGGAAAGAAUCAGCUUAUCUCAAAGAAGGGCCGAUCCAUAUGAUAUUUCAGCUUUUAAUCAGUGGAUUUCUGAUAUGGAGCUUCAGGAAAUUAAAUGUGCUGGGAACAGUUUUACAUGGAUCAGGCCUAAUGGUUGUGUGAAAAGCAGGCUUGAUAAAUUCUCUCAUCUCAAAUAUGGGUGAUUUUAAUCAUGAUAGUUGGGGGUGGAACCUCAGGUUGAGGAGGAAUUUAUUUGAUCAUGAAAGUGAUUUAGCUAUGCAAUUUAUGGAGGAAAUCUGUUCUAUUCCUAUACAGAGGCAUAUUAAAGACUCUAUGAUGUGGUUGGCUGAAACCCAUGGUCAAUACACUACUAAAUCAGCUUACAGUUUAUGCAUUAACCCUAGUACAACAAGUUCAAAUGGGAAGAUCUAUAAGACAAUUUGGAAGUUGAAAAUCCCCCCUCAGGCAAUGGUUUUCUAUUGGAGGCUUCUUAAAAAUAGACUCCCCACCAAGGAAAAUCUUCUAAGAAGAAACAUCAAUAUGCAGGAAGAUAAUUGCCCUCUGUGUGGAAGUGUACAGGAGGAUGUGGGUCACUUAUUUUUCAAUUGUAAUUUGACAAGAGGUUUGUGGUGGGAAGCCAUGAGAUGGAUUCGGGUAGCAGGUCCCCUUCCAAUCACACCUAAGUGCCACUUUAUUCAAUUCUGUGAAGGCUUUGCGGAACUUGUGAAUCAUAAUACAAGGUGUGGGUGGUGGAUUGCCUUAACUAGCUCUAUAUGGCAGCAUAGGAACCAAACUGAUUUUCCAAGGAAAACCUUUUGAUCCCUAUAAAGUCAUGGAUCAUGCUAUCUUCUUAGUUUGGUCCUGGCUGAAGGCUAAAGAAAAAGAUUUCAAUAUCAGCUUCAACCAUUGGUCUUCCAAUAUAUCGAAUUCCUUUGGAUAGUUUGACUGGGCUUUCAUACUAUUGUUAUAUUAGGGUGGGUUGUUAUUUUGGAGGGCAGCACUUAGGUGCCUUGUAAUCUCUUUUUCUGGUACCACUGGUACUGGUUUGCCUAUUAAUAAUAUAUAUAUAUAUAUAUAUAUAUAUAUAUAUAUAUAUAUAUAUAUAUAUAUAUAUAUAUAUAUAUUGCCUUCAAAAAAAAAACAAGCUUUAACAACUACCAAAACCAGUUGUAUGCCAUUCCCCUUAAGGUGUUGCUGUCAUGCAUACUUUCCCAAAAACACUAUAGUACAGCAAAUGUCCCUCCACAAGACACGUCAUCAAAACCCGUUUCCUCUUUGGUUAGCCAUCUGAACCAUAAACAACGAUAUACACUAUAGUACUAGCUGAUAACACGUAGAUAGACAGAUAGCAAUCAACCUUGAACAAAACCAUAGAAAUACAUAUAUGCCCAGCUAAAUACCUUAAGAAUAUUACUUCAUUUUCUGGCAGAUUUUCUUGUUCCAUCUCAUUGAAAACCUUGAUUGCUUCUUGUCCUUGACCAUGAAAUCCAUAAGUAGAAGCAAUCAUUGAGUUCCACAACUCAAGGGAUUGUGUGGCAGCCUAUUAUAAGGAAGUUUGAAGCCAAACUUGCAAAAUGGAAGCAAAGAAGCCUAUCUAUGGGGGGCAGAAUCACUCUCAUUAAUUCAGUUUUAUCAGCCUUAUCUAGUGGCGAUACUAUCUAUGGGGGGCAAAAUGGAAGCAAAGAAGCCUAUCUAUUGUGUGGCUGGGGGAUAAUUUAACUCUACAAGCAUAAUAUCCUACUUUGUAUUUAAUAAGCAAUUAGAAGACCUUUCUAUUUCUAUUUUUUACACAUUUAAAACUCAAACAUAUAAUAUAUAAAAUAUAUAACAAACUAACAAAGAUAAAGACAAAAAAAAGGAAAUAUAAACUCACCUCACUUGCUGCUGCUGCCCAUCAUUUCACUCUCACAACAAAUAGGAAUCAUGUACAUGCAUGGACGGAUCCACAUAAAGCUCUAAGGAGAUGAUUGCUCCCAUUAAGAUAUUUUUUGUAGUUAAAUAUAUUUAAUAAAAAAAUUACUCCCAUAAAAAAAAUCAAAAUGAAUGGUUUCAAGACAUGAUCGGUUGCUAAAUUAAGCAACUAACAUGAGAGUACAAAGCCAUGCUGCUCCAAUAAUAUAUAUGAGAUGCAAAAUGGGAAAAUUUAACAACUACAAUGGAAAUCUUUGUAUGCAAGGAAAAUGAAUCAGACAACACACAAGUGGCUUGACACGGGUGGAAAGAGAUGGUGGCAAGUGAAAACUUUGGCACUCAACAUAGACUGUAUAUAGACUGAAAAUACAGUUUGAUUUUUGAUUUUUGAUUUUUUAUUUAUACUUUUCCUGAUUGAAAAUUGAAAUCAACCCAAACUUUAAAUGAUGGUGAGCCUAAACAUUUCCACUAAACCGGUGGCAGUCUUUAUCAGCACCAAGUAACGUGUCUAGUGUGAAAGGCUAAGAAAAAAAAAUACAACAAUUAUAUAAGAGUGAUGGUGCUAGAUGUUGGAUUAAAGCCUUGAAUGGUCAAAAUAACAUUAUUGUAUCAACGAGAUGUGACAUUUUCUAGAAAAUACCCUGUUACUUUAGAAAAUAGUGUUUCAAAUAACAAAAGAGAAUUAAGAAGAGUGAUGUUAUUAUUAUUUUUUAUAAUAUCCUCAUACUAGCUAGUUCUUUUAAUAUUUUAUAAAAAAUUAAUUAAUUAAUUAAUUUUUUAUCUUAAAAAUACACAAAAAAACAUUACUUGAUUUAUGUAGUAAAAAAAAGGAGGAGAUUAAUAUUCUGCAAUAUGCCUAAGGUGGCAGGAUAACCCUCAUCAAUUUUGUCUUAACAGCCCUCCCUAUUUACCUUCUCUUUUUUUUAGAAUCCCUAAAAAAGAGGUGCAUAAGGUAGUUUCUAUUCAGAGGAAUUUUUUGUGGGGUGGAGGUUCUGAGGCAGCCAUGAUACAGUGGGUCAAUUGGGAUAUUGUUUGUCUUCCCAAGAACAAAGGGGGGCUUGGGAUUAAAGAUAUGUCCAAGUUUAAUGAGGCCUUGAUUGGUAAAUGGGGAUGGGACUUGGCAAAUAACCAGAAUCAGCUUUGUGCUAGACUCUUGAUGUCCAAAUAUAUAUGGUGGGUGGAAUGCUUUAUGUUAUGGUAGAAACAGUGUAGACUUCUCCCCUUGGUGGAAGGAUCUAAGAGUUGUUUUCCAGCAGCAACAUAGUAUCAGUCUCAUCAAUAAUAUGAGGUGGAAGGUGGGUGAUGGGGUCCGGAUUAGGUUUUGGAAGGAUAAAUGGAGAGUAGGAGACUUAACCCUACAAGACAAAUACCCAGUAUUGUACCAAGUGAGUACUCAGCAGAACCACUCCAUAAACUCAAUGGGCCUCUUAUAUAUGAAUAUAAUUAUAUUUGCUGAGCAAAAAAAAAAUCUAUAGUAGUUGUGUUUGGCAGGAUUUGCCUUUGUAUCUAUUUGCUAUUUUCAGUACAUCUAGUACUGAACUAUUAUUAAUAUAAUUAAUUUUUGCUGUGCAAAAAAAAAAACAGACCAACUUUGGAACAGGAUUCUGGUUUCUAAAUACAAUGGUUGGAGGGGUUUGGGUUAGGGGCCUAGAAAGCUAUACUUCUCUACUUGGUGGGCUGACUUAAGGGUCAUCAUAAUGGAAAGGAAAAACAUGCAUUCCUGAGUCUAAAUUAGCUCUGUCUGGUACUUUAUCUAUUCUAAUAUAAAUUAUCUUUGCUUUCCAAAAAAAAAACAUGCAUUCCAAGCAUCAUCAUAGCUCAAACCACUACACUCUUUAUUAGACAAGGCACCACACUGGACAGGAGAAUGGGACCCCAUUUUGAAAUCCCUCCAGCAUGUCUCAUAGCACUUGUAAGCAACUAUAAUGACUUAGUAUCGUCUUAGUCUAAUUUAAAUCUCCAAAUUCACAGAAACAUGAACGGGUAACAAAACAUAUUGUUUGGAAAAAUAAUCAUAUUGCCUAGUCUCAGCUUACUCAAAUAUCAAUCAUAUUAGUUAGUCUAACUAGGGUUUCGAAACAUCACAACAGAGACAGACCAUUGAACAAUGGAUUUUCAUCAUUAACAUACAACAGAGACAUACCUUCGAUGGCUUCCCUGGGAGUCUUAAAGCCAAGCACAAUGGACUUCCAAAAUCGAGUCCCACCCUUUCCGGGACUCGAUUUUUUCCUAGUUUUCUUCGACCUGCGAAAGUGAGCAAAUGUUCAAACGAGGAACGCCUAAUGUUAAAACCAAAGGACGUACCUCAAAAGAUAAGUGCUAGACACGAACUCCACAAACACGAACUCGACAAUGUGGUUGCAGUCACGGAAGCGCAGCCCAGUUUGUGACAAACACCAACUCAGGCAGAAGGAGAAACAACAAGAACGCCCUGGGAGUACUCUUUCUGGGACUCUUUCCUUUCCUAGUUUUCUUCGACCUGCGAAAGUGAGCAAAUUUUAAAACGACGAACGCCUAAUGUUAAAACGAAAGGACGUACCUCAAUCGAUAAGUGGCAGAGACGAUCUCCACAAACACGAUCUCCACAAUGUGGUUGCAGUCACAGAAGCGUAGGCCAGUUUGAGACAAAGACGAACUCAGGUAGAAGGAGAAAGAAGAAGAACGAUAGGGUUCAAGCGCGCGGGUUGUGCAAUUUCAGAUUUUUAAUAUAUAAUGAUAACAACAUCUGUUUUUUUAAAAAUAACCGAUGUUAACAUCAACUACGUAACAUCAGUUUUCUUAAAACCGAUGUUAACAUCGACUCG
RNAcentral lists this long non-coding RNA (6406 nucleotides) under Glycine max (soybean). RNAcentral's name for it is "long non-coding RNA (GMAX_LNC003951)". The record is from RNAcentral. Lineage: Eukaryota; Viridiplantae; Streptophyta; Magnoliopsida; Fabales; Fabaceae.